This 468-nucleotide ribosomal RNA is filed under the name uncultured bacterium. Its description in RNAcentral is "partial 16S ribosomal RNA". It matches the Rfam family "Bacterial small subunit ribosomal RNA", at positions 28 to 507 of the family's 1533-position model. The record is from RNAcentral.
GACGAACGCUGGCGGCGUGCUUAACACAUGCAAGUCGAACGGAAAGGCCCUGCUUUUGUGGGGUGCUCGAGUGGCGAACGGGUGAGUAACACGUGAGUAACCUGCCCUUGACUUUGGGAUAACUUCAGGAAACUGGGGCUAAUACCGGAUAGGAGCUCCUGCUGCAUGGUGGGGGUUGGAAAGUUUCGGCGGUUGGGGAUGGACUCGCGGCUUAUCAGCUUGUUGGUGGGGUAGUGGCUUACCAAGGCUUUGACGGGUAGCCGGCCUGAGAGGGUGACCGGCCACAUUGGGACUGAGAUGCGGCCCAGACUCCUACGGGAGGCAGCGGUGGGGAAUAUUGCAAAAUGGGCGGAAGCCUGAUGCAGCAACGCCGCGUGCGGGAGGACGGCCUUCGGGGUGUAAACCGCUUUCGCCUGUGACGAAGCGUGAGUGACGGUAAUGGGUAAAGAAGCACCGGCUAACUACGUG